RNAcentral lists this ribosomal RNA (372 nucleotides) under Triticum aestivum (bread wheat). RNAcentral's name for it is "partial small subunit ribosomal RNA". The record is from RNAcentral. Lineage: Eukaryota; Viridiplantae; Streptophyta; Magnoliopsida; Poales; Poaceae.
AUGUUUCACCACCUCGGUGUUCUCAUUUUGUUUCCAGAAGAAAAGAGGUGUAGGUAUUGCUUAUGUGAAUAUCUUCUCUUUAUUGAGCAAGAUUAUUUCAACCUAGAAUUGCAUCCUUUGCUUGAGUUUAGUCCGAGUGUUGUUCACACUUUGCCAUGGCCAUGGUCUUUGGACAUGAAUCAUUUGAAAGGUUUUUGCAAUCUAGUUGACAAAUGCAUGUCGACAAUUGUAGACUUCCGGUUAUAUGUUUCUCCAGAAUCUAUAUAUUUAUAUAUAGUUGAUGGAAAUAUCGGUACCCAUGGUGACUGGUCGCGAUUUUCCAAUGCGAUUGAGUCGGGUAUUCCGAUGUCCUGGUCAUUGUGUGCACUAUGA